Canis lupus familiaris (dog) is the source of this 1255-nucleotide long non-coding RNA. RefSeq lists it as uncharacterized. The transcript is spliced from 2 exons. The record is from RefSeq and is a predicted model, not a curated record. NCBI's taxonomy places the organism in Eukaryota, Metazoa, Chordata, Mammalia, Carnivora, Canidae.
CGUGAGUCCUGGAACCUCGCCCGAGGGUGCCUGCAAUAAAAUCUGUUCUUGGACCCUCGCUUACCUUGGCGGUCUCAUUUCCAUCUAGUUACUAAAAAACUUAACAAUGACCUGCGUGGAAACCGAAAGCUAGAUGCUUAACCGACUGUGUCACCCAGGCCCCCUGGGAUUGCUUUUAUGAGCUCCGGAUUGGGCUCUGUCCCAACCGUGUCCCUGACUGUUGUUGGGUGAUUUUGAACAACUCCCUGGGCCUUUGUUUCUUAAUUUAUAAGAUGGAGAAGGCUGUAAUUGAGGCUCUCAAAAGUAUCCUCCUAGUGAAAAUGCUGUAGAAUCUUGGACUCUCCUCUAAUGGAAUCGGAGUCAUAAUGGAACCAGCAAAGAAAGAAUGCAGAGCAGUGAACCCAUCACACAGACCCUCAUUUCUCAACUGAGCCAUGCAGAAGAAGCUGCCUGGCCUCGCUCCUGCUCAACAUCCUCUUCAUCAUACUUCUCCGACCCCAGCUGGGCUUUCGGCCCCCUCCCUGCCUCCUGUCCUGCCUCUUGUCCCGAUGACUUCCCUGUCUCUCCGCCCUGCGCCUGCCUCGGUCACCAGUUACUCAGACCAACCUGGUCCUCUUCCCACCUCAUGCCCAGACCGCCUGCCUCCUCUUACCGGUUUCACCUCUUCCCACCUCCCAGCCUGGGGCCCCUCCACCUUCGCCUGCCCCCCUGCUCCUCCCACCACCUGCCUUCCCCCUCUCCCUCUUCCCUGCAUCCGCCGCCCCUUCCGACUUGCCCCCCUCUUCCCCCACCCCUCUCCCUUUACCCCAGGCCUUCCUCCUCACUCUGCUUCUUCUCCCACCUGCAUGGGCCUUGGGCCCAGAUAGGCCUCUCCUGCUCCUGCUAGGACAUCUGCCCCAAGCAGCCCUCACUAGGCCUGAUGAUUCCCAUGCUCCAUCGUGAGGGCCUCGCGUCUCUCCCCAUGGGGCCCCUGGCCCAUGCCAGAACUCCUGGGAAGAUGGUACCCAGCAUCCUGGUGACCCAGUGGACAUGGGGGAUGAUGGCCAGCAGGCAUAGAACCAGGAGGGGCACCUCCCUCACUCAGAAGCCAUGUGAAAGAAUUUUCUUCUCAAGGGAAUUGGCAAGAAUGUUGUACGAAACAGCCGGCAGUCCUCCCCAGCCGUCCACCUGCCACCUAGGAGCCACAGCAAGUUUGGAAAGAUGCUGCACAUAGAAAAUGUAUAGAGCACAGAUAUAAAAGGCUAAUUGCUUCUUA